GACGAACGCUGGCGGCGUGCUUAACACAUGCAAGUCGAACGGAAAGGCCCUGCUUUUGUGGGGUGCUCGAGUGGCGAACGGGUGAGUAACACGUGAGUAACCUGCCCUUGACUUUGGGAUAACUUCAGGAAACUGGGGCUAAUACCGGAUAGGAGCUCCUGCUGCAUGGUGGGGGUUGGAAAGUUUCGGCGGCUGGGGAUGGACUCGCGGCUUAUCAGCUUGUUGGUGGGGUAGUGGCUUACCAAGGCUUUGACGGGUAGCCGGCCUGAGAGGGUGACCGGCCACAUUGGGACUGAGAUACGGCCCAGACUCCUACGGGAGGCAGCAGUGGGGAAUAUUGCACAAUGGGCGGAAGCCUGAUGCAGCAACGCCGCGUGCGGGAUGACGGCCUUCGGGUUGUAAACCGCUUUCGCCUGUGACGAAGCGUGAGUGACGGUAAUGGGUAAAGAAGCACCGGCUAACUACGUGCCAGCAGCCGCGGUGAUACGUAGGGUGCGAGCGUUGUCCGGAUUUAUUGGGCGUAAAGGGCUCGUAGGUGGUUGAUCGCGUCGGAAGUGUAAUCUUGGGGCUUAACCCUGAGCGUGCUUUCGAUACGGGUUGACUUGAGGAAGGUAGGGGAGAAUGGAAUUCCUGGUGGAGCGGUGGAAUGCGCAGAUAUCAGGAGGAACACCAGUGGCGAAGGCGGUUCUCUGGGCCUUUCCUGACGCUGAGGAGCGAAAGCGUGGGGAGCGAACAGGCUUAGAUACCCUGGUAGUCCACGCUGUAAACGGUGGGUACUAGGUGUGGGGUCCAUUCCACGGGUUCCGUGCCGUAGCUAACGCUUUAAGUACCCCGCCUGGGGAGUACGGCCGCAAGGCUAAAACUCAAAGGAAUUGACGGGGCCCCGCACAAGCGGCGGAGCAUGCGGAUUAAUUCGAUGCAACGCGUAGAACCUUACCUGGGUUUGACAUGGAUCGGGAGUGCUCAGAGAUGGGUGUGCCUCUUUUGGGGUCGGUUCACAGGUGGUGCAUGGCUGUCGUCAGCUCGUGUCGUGAGAUGUUGGGUUAAGUCCCGCAACGAGCGCAACCCUUGUUCACUGUUGCCAGCGCGUUAUGGUGGGGACUCAGUGGAGACCGCCGGGGUCAACUCGGAGGAAGGUGGGGAUGACGUCAAGUCAUCAUGCCCCUUAUGUCCAGGGCUUCACGCAUGCUACAAUGGCUGGUACAGAGAGUGGCGAGCCUGUGAGGGUGAGCGAAUCUCGGAAAGCCGGUCUCAGUUCGGAUUGGGGUCUGCAACUCGACCUCAUGAAGUCGGAGUCGCUAGUAAUCGCAGAUCAGCAACGCUGCGGUGAAUACGUUCCCGGGGCU
Molecule: ribosomal RNA, 1346 nt
Filed under: uncultured bacterium
Lineage: Bacteria
Description: partial 16S ribosomal RNA
Rfam family: Bacterial small subunit ribosomal RNA
Source: RNAcentral